CGUAGGUAACCUGCCUGGUAGCGGGGGAUAACUAUUGGAAACGAUAGCUAAUACCGCAUAAGAGUAGAUGUUGCAUGACAUUUGCUUAAAAGGUGCAAUUGCAUCACUACCAGAUGGACCUGCGUUGUAUUAGCUAGUUGGUGGGGUAACGGCUCACCAAGGCGACGAUACAUAGCCGACCUGAGUGGGUGAUCGGCCACACUGGGACUGAGACACGGCCCAG
RNAcentral lists this ribosomal RNA (223 nucleotides) under uncultured bacterium. RNAcentral's name for it is "partial 16S ribosomal RNA". It matches the Rfam family "Bacterial small subunit ribosomal RNA", at positions 116 to 334 of the family's 1533-position model. The record is from RNAcentral.